GUUAUAUGGUCAAGCGAAUAAGCGCACACGGUGGAUGCCUUGGCGGUCAGAGGCGAUGAAGGACGUGGCAGCCUGCGAAAAGUAUCGGGGAGCUGGCAACAAGCUUUGAUCCGGUAAUGUCCGAAUGGGGAAACCCACCCGCUUGCGGGUAUCCUGCAGUGAAUACAUAGCUGCUGGAAGCGAACCUGGUGAACUGAAAUAUCUAAGUAACCAGAGGAAAAGAAAUCAACCGAGAUUCCGUAAGUAGCGACGAGCGAACGCGGACUAGCCCUUAAGCUGGAUUGGUUCUAGGAAAACGCUCUGGAAAGAGCGGCCAUAGAAGGUGAUAGCCCUGUAUCUGAAAGGGCCAUUCCAGUGAAGACGAGUAGGGCGGGGCACGUGAAACCCUGUCUGAACAUGGGGGGACCAUCCUCCAAGGCUAAAUACUACUGACCGACCGAUAGUGAACCAGUACCGUGAGGGAAAGGCGAAAAGAACCCCGGAGAGGGGAGUGAAAUAGAACCUGAAACCGUGUGCGUACAAGCAGUAGGAGCUCCGCAAGGAGUGACUGCGUACCUUUUGUAUAAUGGGUCAGCGACUUACUGUUCGUGGCAAGCUUAACCGUAUAGGGGAGGCGAAGGGAAACCGAGUCUGAUAAGGGCGCAUAGUCGCGGGCAGUAGACCCGAAACCGGGUGAUCUAGUCAUGCCCAGGGUGAAGGUGCGGUAACACGCACUGGAGGCCCGAACCCACUCCCGUUGCAAAGGUAGGGGAUGAGGUGUGAUUAGGAGUGAAAAGCUAAUCGAACCCGGAGAUAGCUGGUUCUCCUCGAAAGCUAUUUAGGUAGCGCCUCAUAUGUAUCCUCUCGGGGGUAGAGCACUGUUAUGGCUAGGGGGUCAUCGCGACUUACCAAACCAUUGCAAACUCCGAAUACCGAGACGGACUGUAUGGGAGACACACGGCGGGUGCUAACGUCCGUCGUGAAAAGGGAAACAACCCAGACCCACAGCUAAGGUCCCAAAUUUUGUGCUAAGUGGAAAACCAUGUGGAAAGGCACAGACAGCCAGGAGGUUGGCUUAGAAGCAGCCACCCUUUAAAGAAAGCGUAAUAGCUCACUGGUCGAGUCGGUCUGCGGGGAAGAUUUAACGGGGCUAAGCACAGAACCGAAGCUUGGGGUGCAUAACUUUGUUAUGCGCGGUAGAGGAGCGUUCCGUAAGCCGUUGAAGGUGGAUUGAGAAGUCUGCUGGAGGUAUCGGAAGUGCGAAUGCUGACAUGAGUAACGAUAAUGCGGGUGAAAAACCCGCACGCCGAAAGCCCAAGGUUUCCUUGCGCAACGUUAAUCGGCGCAGGGUGAGUCGGCCCCUAAGGCGAGGACGAAAGUCGUAGUCGAUGGGAAGCAGGUUAAUAUUCCUGCACCUCGCGUAAGUGCGAUGGAGGGACGGAGAAGGUUAGGUGUACCAGGCGUUGGUUGUCCUGGGGAAAGGCGGUAGGUUUGGAUCUUUGGCAAAUCCGGGAUCCUUUAAGACCGAGCACCGAGACGAGCCUUUAAGGCGAAGUCACUGAUACCACGCUUCCAGGAAAAGCUCCUAAGCUUCAGCUUACGCAGACCGUACCGUAAACCGACACAGGUGGGUAGGAUGAGAAUUCUCAGGCGCUUGAGAGAACUCGGGUGAAGGAACUAGGCAACAUGGCACCGUAACUUCGGGAGAAGGUGCACCCUUUUUGGUGGCUCGUGCGAGCUAUAGCUGAAGAGGGUCGCAGUAACCAGGCCGCUGCGACUGUUUAUCAAAAACACAGCACUCUGCAAACACGAAAGUGGACGUAUAGGGUGUGACGCCUGCCCGGUGCUGGAAGGUUAAUUGAUGGGGUCAGCCGCAAGGCGAAGCUCUUGAUCGAAGCCCCAGUAAACGGCGGCCGUAACUAUAACGGUCCUAAGGUAGCGAAAUUCCUUGUCGGGUAAGUUCCGACCUGCACGAAUGGCGUAACGACAGCGGCGCUGUCUCCACCCGAGACUCAGUGAAAUUGAAAUCGCUGUGAAGAUGCAGCGUUCCCGUGGCAAGACGGAAAGACCCCGUGAACCUUUACUAUAGCUUUACACUGAACGUUGAGUUCGUCUGUGUAGGAUAGGUGGGAGGCUAUGAAACCAUGGCGCUAGCUGUGGCGGAGCCAUCCUUGAAAUACCACCCUGUCGUGCUUGACGUUCUAACCUGGGCCCAUUAUCUGGGUCGGGGACCGUGUAUGGUGGGUAGUUUGACUGGGGCGGUCUCCUCCUAAAGAGUAACGGAGGAGCUCGAAGGUACGCUCAGCGCGGUCGGACAUCGCGCACUGUGUGCAAAGGCAUAAGCGUGCUUGACUGCAAGAUCGACGGAUCAAGCAGGUAGGAAACUAGGACUUAGUGAUCCGGUGGUUCUGUAUGGAAGGGCCAUCGCUCAACGGAUAAAAGGUACUCCGGGGAUAACAGGCUGAUACCGCCCAAGAGUUCAUAUCGACGGCGGUGUUUGGCACCUCGAUGUCGGCUCAUCACAUCCUGGGGCUGUAGUCGGUCCCAAGGGUAUGGCUGUUCGCCAUUUAAAGUGGUACGCGAGCUGGGUUCAGAACGUCGUGAGACAGUUCGGUCCCUAUCUGCCAUGGGCGUUGGAGAUUUGAGAGGGGCUGCUCCUAGUACGAGAGGACCGGAGUGGACGAACCUCUGGUGUUCCGGUUGUCACGCCAGUGGCAUUGCCGGGUAGCUAUGUUCGGAAGCGAUAACCGCUGAAAGCAUCUAAGCGGGAAGCGCGCCUCAAGAUGAGAUCUCCCGGGGCACAAGCCCCCUGAAGGAACCAUGUAGACUACGUGGUUGAUAGGUCAGGUGUGUAAGUACAGCAAUGUAUUGAGCUAACUGAUACUAAUGAUCCGUGCGGCUUGACCAUAUAACCU
RNAcentral lists this ribosomal RNA (2894 nucleotides) under Stenotrophomonas maltophilia. Its description in RNAcentral is "bacterial LSU rRNA". It matches the Rfam family "Bacterial large subunit ribosomal RNA". The record is from RNAcentral. Lineage: Bacteria; Pseudomonadati; Pseudomonadota; Gammaproteobacteria; Lysobacterales; Lysobacteraceae.